UACAGAGGGUGCAAACGUUGCUCGGAAUUAUUGGGCGUAAAGCGCGUGUAGGCGGCUUGUUAAGUUGGUUGUGAAAACCCAUGGCUCAACCAUGGAAGGGCGUCCAAAACUGGCAAGCUAGAGUCCCGACGAGGAUGGCGGAAUUCCCAGUGUAGAGGUGAAAUUCGUAGAUAUUGGGAGGAACACCGGUGGCGAAGGCGGCCAUCUGGGAGGGCACUGACGCUGAGACGCGAAAGCGUGGGGAGCAAACAGGAUUAGAUACCCUGGUAGUCCACGCCGUAAACGAUGAGCACUAGAUGUUGCGGGUAUUGACCCCUGCAGUGUCGACGCUAACGCAUUAAGUGCUCCGCCUGGGGAGUACGGCCGCAAGGCUAAA
Molecule: ribosomal RNA, 376 nt
Filed under: uncultured bacterium
Lineage: Bacteria
Description: bacterial SSU rRNA
Rfam family: Bacterial small subunit ribosomal RNA
Source: RNAcentral